This 930-nucleotide long non-coding RNA is filed under the name Equus caballus (horse). RNAcentral describes it as "lncRNA (ENSECAG00000045099.1)". The record is from RNAcentral. Lineage: Eukaryota; Metazoa; Chordata; Mammalia; Perissodactyla; Equidae.
GGGCCCUAUCCUUAUGACCUCAUUUAACCUGAAAUUACCUCCUAAAAGCAAUAUCUCCAAACACAGUCACAUUGGAGGUUAGGGCUUCAAUAUAGGAAAUUUUGGAGACACAAUUCAGUCCGUCGGAUCUCCCAUGCAGGACUCUCCUGCUCAGUGCUGGGUCCAAGUCAGAACUCUGUGUUGGUAGCCAAGUACCUGAGAGGAUCCAGCUAUAAGAAUAUUUGCUGGGCUUCAUGACAGCCCAUAUGGCUUUGCACUGGCUGCCAGAGUUUGGCUGAAUUAAUUAGAUCAAAUCAAAGAAGAGAGCCUAAUGGGAUAUUGCUUUUUGGUCCGUUUUUUCUCUCACAAGACCCAAUACUGGAUGUAAUUAAUCAGUCAUGUGACAAAAAUGGCGAAGGUUGUUUUUGUUUUGUUUUCCUUUAGUUUAGUUUAAUUUUGUGAAAGGUUUUUCUGCAAGGGCCAUGGACAAAUAUUUAACUUAGUUGCUUUUAAAGAUAAGAAUAAUGAACAUGAAGCAAAUCCAAUGAAACAAAAGAUUCUACCAGGAAUACUUCAAUAUUAGGAGCAGUCAAAGGGUAAGGAGGAGAAAGAAAGACAGAAGAAAUAAAGGAGAAAAAGAACCACAACAAAAGGAAAGGCACAAGGCAAGACUCAAGAAGAGGGAGGAAGUGCAUGAGGAGGAGAGCUGGAGAGCUCCGGAGGAAGGGCAGACACAGCAUUCAGGAAUAGAACAAUCCAGAAGGAGAGGGAAUGGCUCAGAAGCCGCAGAGACUGGCCCAAUUUUACAUCUUGCUGUUCCCACAACUAGAACAGGACUGAGUCACUCUCUCUCUGGUCCCGAAGUAAAAUGAAAUGCUGGUGGAAGGGCUGUGAUUGGUUCAACUUGGGCAAGGACAGCACUUCUGGAGCCAAGAGCCCUCAGAUAUCUGG